AUGGCGUCCAUGAUGGGAGGAGACUUCGUGGAGGCCUACGUGCUCAAGAACGCCUACAAGGAGAAGCUGAGGCGCAUGGACCAAGCCGAAGCCGCGGCGGCGCUCGACGGCGCAAAGAGCAGCAAGGACGCCGCCGGGGCCGCUGGAGAGAAGAAGGAGGCUGGUGGUGCGAGCAGCAGGGGAGGAUUCUUUGGCCUCAUGAAGAAGAAGGUGCACCCCAAACCCAAAGCGGCGGCGGGGGCGGCCACUUCCUCUUGA
This 258-nucleotide ribosomal RNA is filed under the name Triticum aestivum (bread wheat). RNAcentral's name for it is "partial small subunit ribosomal RNA". Lineage: Eukaryota; Viridiplantae; Streptophyta; Magnoliopsida; Poales; Poaceae. The record is from RNAcentral.